AUUGAACGCUGGCGGCAGGCCUAACACAUGCAAGUCGAGCGAGCGGCGGACGGGUGAGUAAUGUAUGGGGACUGCCCGAUAGAGGGGGAUAACUACUGGAAACGGUGGCUAAUACCGCAUACUAUCGGAUAACCCAUAUGGGAUUAGCUAGUAGGUGGGGUAAAGGCUCACCUAGGCGACGAUCUCUAGCUGGUCUGAGAGGAUGAUCAGCCACACUGUGACUGAGACACGGCCCAGACUCCGACGGAGGCAGCAGUAGGGAAUAUUGGACAAUGGACGAAAGUCUGACGCAGCCAUGCCGCGUGUAUGAAGAAGGUCUUAGGAUUGUAAAGCACUGUUGUCGGGGAAGCGUUAUCUAAAGAAAAAGCAACGGCUAACUACGUGCCAGCAGCCGCGGUAAUAC
RNAcentral lists this ribosomal RNA (403 nucleotides) under uncultured bacterium. RNAcentral describes it as "partial 16S ribosomal RNA". It matches the Rfam family "Bacterial small subunit ribosomal RNA", at positions 30 to 526 of the family's 1533-position model. The record is from RNAcentral.